Neoarius graeffei (lesser salmon catfish) is the source of this 660-nucleotide long non-coding RNA. RefSeq lists it as uncharacterized. The record is from RefSeq and is a predicted model, not a curated record. The transcript has 3 exons. NCBI's taxonomy places the organism in Eukaryota, Metazoa, Chordata, Actinopteri, Siluriformes, Ariidae.
UACGCAGGUGUGAUUGUGCGACGGUUGUGUUGUUGUGUUGUGGUUCUUGCUACUUUUCAGUAUGUUAUUAAUAAAUAAGUGAGCAGGAUUGUGGGUGAGACUGCGGUUGAAAGUGUGGUUAUUAUUUCAGCUAAAGGACAAUAAGGUCGGUUCCUCAGACCGGCUCAGGGACUUCACUCAUUAAAGAACCUGGAUUUCUGUAAAGCCGCUUUGUGUUGCUUCAUCACGGAGAUGGGAGGAGAACACACACCGAAUUGAGGCAUCUUGGGAAAUCACACAAGCAUAUCUGUGAUCAAGAAGGAACCCAUGUGAGGGUCACAGGUGAAGCUGGAGCCAAUCCCAACUGACUUCAGGUGAGGGGCGGGGUUCAUCCUAGGUGGGUCACUAAUCUAUCACAAGGCUACACAGAGAAGAACAUCCAUCACACACACACACACACACACCUCUGGGGGAUUUAGAGUCACCAAUUGAUGAACCCAUGUGUUUGGACUGUGGGAGGAAACCCGAGACCCGGAGGAAACCCACACAGACACGAAGAGAACAUGAGAACUCCACACAGAAAGACCCCAGUCAACUGAGAGGUUUGAACCCAGAACCUUCUUGAUGUGAUGUGACAGUGAUAACCACUGCCCCACCCUGCCACACCCUAAAACAAUAUCA